GAGUUUGAUCCUGGCUCAGAUUGAACGCUGGCGACAUGCCUUACACAUGCAAGUCGAACGGCAGCACGGGAGCUUGCUCCUGGUGGCGAGUGGCGAACGGGUGAGUAAUGCAUCGGAACGUAUCCUGGAGUGGGGGAUAACGUAGCGAAAGUUACGCUAAUACCGCAUAUUCUGUGAGCAGGAAAGCGGGGGACCUUCGGGCCUCGCGCUCUUGGAGCGGCCGAUGUCGGAUUAGCUAGUUGGUGAGGUAAAGGCUCACCAAGGCGACGAUCCGUAGCAGGUCUGAGAGGAUGAUCUGCCACACUGGAACUGAGACACGGUCCAGACUCCUACGGGAGGCAGCAGUGGGGAAUUUUGGACAAUGGGGGCAACCCUGAUCCAGCCAUGCCGCGUGAGUGAAGAAGGCCUCGGUU
RNAcentral lists this ribosomal RNA (413 nucleotides) under bacterium enrichment culture clone ALO1_GLFRUDD03F7ZZ6. RNAcentral describes it as "bacterial SSU rRNA". It matches the Rfam family "Bacterial small subunit ribosomal RNA", at positions 9 to 424 of the family's 1533-position model. The record is from RNAcentral.